This is a long non-coding RNA of Monopterus albus (swamp eel), 1364 nucleotides long. RefSeq lists it as uncharacterized. The transcript is spliced from 2 exons. The record is from RefSeq and is a predicted model, not a curated record. Lineage: Eukaryota; Metazoa; Chordata; Actinopteri; Synbranchiformes; Synbranchidae.
AAGUCAGGGUGGAGAAAGGGCGACAUAUAUAAAUAAUCAGGAAGAUGACCAGAAUGGAAGCCAUCACAAUCAAAGAGAAGAUGAUAUCUGACAUAAACAGGAUGAGACCAGCUUACCCAGACCAGCAGCCCGCCCUACCAGCCCCUGCAGACACAGAGUGAACAGUGUGGCCAUGUUGAGGAGUCUCUUACAGCUCUGCCACCGUCUUGGCUCUGGACCAGUAACAAAAGAAGCUUUGACCGUUCACUGGUGUGGGUUUGAAGUAACACGUGCUGCAGCGUCUUUAUCGGCUGUCGGACACUUUGACACAGGGAGUGGGAGUUAAACUUUUUCUUCAGAGAUGAAUCUCACACAAAAUGAAAGAUGCUUUGUUGCAGAUUUAACUACUAGCUUCUUUGCAUCUGCAGUUCUUGGGCAGGUACACUACAAAAUUCAAAACAUGUUCCCACUGAGAUACGUAUGUGUCAAAACACCUUAAGUCUAAUUGAUGUUAUCAGAUUUUAUUAGUGCUGACAAGAAUAAAUCCAUUCAUCCAUUUUCUGUAGCAAGAGUGUAAACUGGACUCUGCGCAGACAGAUUAUGGCUGAUAGAAGGUGGAAAAUAAUUCUGUGUACAACUGGUCACACUAGUAGUAUACUGUAGGAGUGUAUGUUGUUUUAUAGCAGCCAGCUGGACGGAGGCCUGACCAGGAGGGUAAACCCAGGACUUAUGGGUACUGGUAUCCAGUCAGAGCUCUCGCAACUCAUUUAAAGGUCAUGGGUUGCAGGUUUACUAUAUGAAUGUUACUGUUGCCUUUUGAUCAAAGCUGUUUAGAGAAUAAAAACAGGUUCUCACCAGUCUGGCGUUUGGCAUCUCAUACACUUUGGAACAAAACUCUGAACUUCUCUGUCACCUUUACAAUAAAAAGACAAGCUAAGAGCACCAGUUAGCUCCAUCAGCAGCUGCCAUUUGCAUUCAGCUUUGCUUUCUCUCCACUAAGUUUGUUUUAUUUGUCAUGUCUUUUUGUCUCCAGGCUCUUUUGUAUGAUGUUGACAAAUGAAGCCAGCGGCCUUGUCUUCAUCGCCCGAGCAGCUCAGGACGGCGAGACAGACUGUCCACACCUCAUUCCUUGAAACGGUGAACUGUCCCUUUAAUUGUUUUGAAGGCCCCUUGUUUCAUGUUUACGUCUGAACAAUGACAUUACAAACGGGGCAGGGGCCCUGACCGGCGCUCUGCCUCUGGGAGGAAGGCGACUGGCUCGACGGCUCGUCCUAGGGAAGCUGCUGUGAAAACCAAAUGGAUGCUUUCAACACCUGGUGUUAGACGACAGCAUUUCCUAAACUCUGAGAUUUCCAGAAAGGAGUUAUCUGACAUGCUACACCCCA